UACGGAGGAUCCUAGUGUUAUCCGGAUUUAUUGGGUUUAAAGGGAGCGUAGGCGGGAGGUCAAGUCAGCUGUGAAAUGUAUCUGCUUAACGGGUACACUGCAGUUGAAACUGAUGUACUGGAGUGCUGUAGAGGCAAGUGGAAUUCCCAGUGUAGCGGUGAAAUGCGUAGAUAUUGGGAAGAACACCGGUGGCGAAGGCGACUUGCUGGGCAGCAACUGACGCUGAGGCGCGAAAGCCAGGGGAGCAAACGGGAUUAGAUA
This 261-nucleotide ribosomal RNA is filed under the name uncultured prokaryote. RNAcentral's name for it is "partial 16S ribosomal RNA". It matches the Rfam family "Bacterial small subunit ribosomal RNA", at positions 524 to 784 of the family's 1533-position model. The record is from RNAcentral.